RNAcentral lists this ribosomal RNA (492 nucleotides) under uncultured bacterium. RNAcentral's name for it is "partial 16S ribosomal RNA". It matches the Rfam family "Bacterial small subunit ribosomal RNA", at positions 29 to 507 of the family's 1533-position model. The record is from RNAcentral.
AGUGAACGCUGGCGGUAGGCCUAACACAUGCAAGUCGAACGGCAGCACAGUAAGAGCUUGCUCUUACGGGUGGCGAGUGGCGGACGGGUGAGGAAUACAUCGGAAUCUACUUUUUCGUGGGGGAUAACGUAGGGAAACUUACGCUAAUACCGCAUACGACCUACGGGUGAAAGCAGGGGAUCUUCGGACCUUGCGCGAUUGAAUGAGCCGAUGUCGGAUUAGCUAGUUGGCGGGGUAACGGCCCACCAAGGCGACGAUCCGUAGCUGGUCUGAGAGGAUGAUCAGCCACACUGGAACUGAGACACGGUCCAGAUUCCUACGGGAGGCAGCAGUGGAGAAUAUUGGUCCAUGGGCGCAAGCCUGAUCCAGCCAUACCGCGUGAGUGCAGAAGGCCUUCGGGUUGUAAAGCCCUUUUGUUGGGAAAGAAAAGCAGCAGGUUAAUACCCCGCUGUUCUGACGGUACCCAAAGAAUAAGCACCGGCUAACUUCGUG